Molecule: non-coding RNA, 45 nt
Organism: Schistosoma margrebowiei
Lineage: Eukaryota; Metazoa; Platyhelminthes; Trematoda; Strigeidida; Schistosomatidae
Source: Rfam
AUCCGACUGACGAGUCCCAAAUAAGACGAAACCCACGUUAUGGAU